AGCGAACGCUGGCGGCAGGCCUAACACAUGCAAGUCGAACGAACUCUUCGGAGUUAGUGGCGGACGGGUGAGUAACACGUGGGAACGUGCCUUUUGGUUCGGAAUAACUCAGGGAAACUUGUGCUAAUACCGAAUGUGCCCUUCGGGGGAAAGAUUUAUCGCCAUUAGAGCGGCCCGCGUCUGAUUAGCUAGUUGGUGAGGUAACGGCUCACCAAGGCGACGAUCAGUAGCUGGUCUGAGAGGAUGACCAGCCACACUGGGACUGAGACACGGCCCAGACGGGAAGGGGGGAGGGGAGGGGGGAGGAUGGCGUGGGGGAAGAACGAAUGAGGGAGCAAGGGCGAGCGAAUGAUGAAGUUGAUAGGAUUGUAAAAUUCUGGCAGGGAAGCAAAUAGUGCCGGUACGAGGAGAAGAAGGCCAGGCUAGCUCCGGGCCAGCAGCAGAGAUAAAAGAUGGAAGGCACACGUCUGGC
This 472-nucleotide ribosomal RNA is filed under the name uncultured bacterium. RNAcentral describes it as "partial 16S ribosomal RNA". It matches the Rfam family "Bacterial small subunit ribosomal RNA", at positions 33 to 541 of the family's 1533-position model. The record is from RNAcentral.